Non-coding RNA from Bubalus bubalis (water buffalo), 985 nucleotides. The record is from the annotation of a RefSeq genome assembly. Lineage: Eukaryota; Metazoa; Chordata; Mammalia; Artiodactyla; Bovidae.
GAGGAGCCUGAUGGGCUAUAGUUCGAGAGGUCACAAAGAGUUGGACAUGACUGAGUGACUUUCACUUUCACUUGAUUAAAGAGGGGCGGAUCCUGCAUCAGUGGUAAUGAUGACCACCAGGGGGCAGACGAGAGCAUCCUUAGAAUAUGCAGACACUCAGCCCUCCUUCUAGGGGUGGAGAAAGAAAGGGCAAGGUCAUAUCUUUCUGCUGAGAGAUGUGGUGUGAGGCCAGUUCCUGAAGAUGCUGGUGCUUCUGCUGCUUCUGGGACCCAGCUCUGGGCUUGGCGCUCUCGUCUCUCAGCAGCCCCGCAGGGCUGUCAGUAAGAGUGGAGCCUCUGUGACCAUCGAGUGCCGUGCAGUGGACUUUCAAGCCUCAAGUAUGUUCUGGUAUCGUCAGUUCCCGAAAGGAGGCCUCGUGCUGAUGGCAACUUCUAAUGCGGGCACUAAUGCCACAUACGAACAAGGUUAUAACAAGAACAAGUUUCCCAUCAAUCAACCAGACCUAAAAUUUUCAUCUCUGAUGGUGACAAGAGUGGAUCCUGCAGACAGCGGCCUCUACUUCUGCAGUGCUAGAGACACAGCGCUGGGCAGAGAUCAGAGACCCAGACAAGAAUCUUGGUAGCAACCCCCUUCCCCACCCCACUGAACCAUGGGGCCCUGUGGAAGGAGGUGUGGAGAGAGAAAACCACAGCCUCUCUGAAUGAGUCAUCUGUGGCUGUGUGUGUAGAGAGAGAAAGGGAGAGAAAAAUAUCUGAGUAGAGAGCAGGGGGAUGGUAUGGUGCUUGAGAACUAGCCAUAUGGAAAUGGAGCUAGGCCUAUCAAUGGCCAACCAAGUUCCCUGGGCUGAAAAUUAUAAAAUCUGGAUUUUUUUUUCUGAUUCUCCCAUAUGAUAAUCAUAAGUUCUUAGAUAAAUUGACACAUAAUCCUAUAGGUAGAUCCCAAAAUGCUUCUAUAAAGCAAUGAAUACUUCUAUAAUGGGCUUCCC